GGGUUGUGAGGUUAAGCGACUAAGCGUACACGGUGGAUGCCCUGGCAGUCAGAGGCGAUGAAGGACGUGCUAAUCUGCGAAAAGCGUCGGUAAGGUGAUAUGAACCGUUAUAACCGGCGAUGUCCGAAUGGGGAAACCCAGUGUGAUUCGUCACACUAUCGUUAACUGAAUACAUAGGUUAACGAGGCGAACCGGGGGAACUGAAACAUC
This 210-nucleotide ribosomal RNA is filed under the name Klebsiella pneumoniae. Its description in RNAcentral is "partial 23S ribosomal RNA". It matches the Rfam family "Bacterial large subunit ribosomal RNA", at positions 1 to 202 of the family's 2925-position model. Lineage: Bacteria; Pseudomonadati; Pseudomonadota; Gammaproteobacteria; Enterobacterales; Enterobacteriaceae. The record is from RNAcentral. RNAcentral also lists the same sequence under 1 other name.